Molecule: non-coding RNA, 591 nt
Organism: Pelobates cultripes (western spadefoot toad)
Lineage: Eukaryota; Metazoa; Chordata; Amphibia; Anura; Pelobatidae
Source: the annotation of a GenBank genome assembly
AGGAAGUUAUGCAAGGUCAAAGCCAUCAUUCCCUUCCAUGGUUUCCCCGUCUGAAGAAACUGAUGAUAGACCAUUCUGGUCUUAGACAUUCUGCCAUUACAGGAUCCACUUCUUAAACCAGGUCCUCACAAGCUCAGAUUGAAGGCAUGGCUCUUGAGAGGCAGGCUCUGAUUUCCAAGUGUUUACCAGAAACUGCCAUGUCUACAUUUUUGCAUUCCUGUAAGAUCUCUCCUCCCAGUACUUACCACAAGAUAUGGGGAAGUUUCGCCAUGCGGUCAAACACCAACAUGCAGUCCACAAAUCUUGUCUAUUUCACAGAUCCUGGGCAAUCCGGCCUGCAUUGAGGUUGUGACAAACUGCCCUUUGCCACUGGCUUUUGGAGGAGCCUGAUUGCCAGCCUCCUACCCUAUAACUAUGGCCCUUGUAACUUUCUGAGGUUUAACGCAGUUGGGACAGAAUCCUCUGCCCCUGGAUUGCAUCUUUUGUCUUACUUGAACAUUUUGAACAUUUCCCUGUGGAUUCAUAUAUUGGUUCGUGCUGUUCUAACUCUAUUACAGCCAGGAUAAUGCUGUUCGUACAGACGAACAAACA